Long non-coding RNA from Pantherophis guttatus, 1440 nucleotides. RefSeq lists it as uncharacterized. NCBI's taxonomy places the organism in Eukaryota, Metazoa, Chordata, Lepidosauria, Squamata, Colubridae. The record is from RefSeq and is a predicted model, not a curated record.
UUCUAACGAUCCAAACCACAAGUCAAUCAUUUUUCUUUUCUGUUUCAUCCCAAAAAUCUACAGGAUACCUUUUUCAGAUGCAUUACCGAGCAGAAUAUAGACCACCCGUCAAGAAAGAAAAAGGAGGUUGAUAAACAGUUGUGCAGAAGUAGAGGAAAACUCUGACUAAUUUUCCAUGCUCAAGAUCGGAGCUAAUGGGGCUGUGAUAUUCACCUCCUGUGACAAAGGCAAAGCCUGUCACCUGACUUCCUCUAAAAGCAACAAAUCCUGACUGGUUUCGUGGACCUUGAGUGUCUAUGGGUGAGGAAUUUCAUCAAACAUAUUCAGUCCACUCAAAAUGGUUACAAUAUUUUCUUUCCCUAAGUCAAUUUUUGCAGAACACAUGUACAAUAUGCAGCUGACAAGAAAAUCAAAAAUAACAGCAGGAAGAUGCUGGGAAGAUCAGGAGACAAACUGAUAGGAAGAUAAUCAGAAGUUCAAUGUGGACGGGCUAACAGGAAUAUCAACAGCACCAAUGGGUUGAAACUAGGAGUUCUCAAUUGAAUUUUGUCUAGGUUAGAUGCUGCUGCCCAUCCUUUUCAAGUUCAAAUUUAUCUGGGCAUGUCUACAUUUGCACAAAAGAUACUUUGCUUGGGAAAGCUGAAGAAUAUGAUACUAGGCCAUGCAACUUUCCUUGGCUUCUCUCAUUUGUUAAAAUUGAAAAUUUGUAUUUGGGUGGUAGUAUGAAAUGAAAUUCUUGAAAUCUCAGUUCAGUAGAUUGCAUUAGGAAGAUGGGGGGGAGGGGGAACCAUCUUGAAAGAAUUCUGACUACAUUCUAGCCAAGAAAACUAUAUGACCAUAUCCAUGUAAUUACCAGGGAAUAACUUUAAUUUAAAGGAGGUGUUUUUCAUUAAUAAUCAAUCCAGAGAAAAAUACAUGGAAUGUUGAGGGCUGCUCUUUAAAAGUGGACGGUCCAGAACCCAUUGAGGGAAUUAAGGGGGGGGGUGUUAAGGAGUAAGGUCAGACAUUAAUGUACAAUUUUGACCGUUUAACCACACCUUUAAUUUUUCAAAAUGCAUGUUAAAUAAUGCAUGCAAAACAACUAGAAUUUUAGUUCCGCCCAGAAACCAAAUAGAUGGGAUCUAUUUGGUUUCUGAUAGCUUGAUUUCCAUAUAGUCCUAUUCCCAAUUCUUUUUUCUGAAUACAAGGAAGAGAGGGAGCUUGUGCACCUAAUCUCUUCUACCUCCAUCACCAUCCUCCUGCUCGCUCUGAAUUGCAGUAAAUACCACCAUGAAAAGAAAACUUAGGGUUCUACUUAUCCAUUAGUGAUUUAGAAACCUAACAUUUUACAAGAAUCUAUAUCAGUCUAAUUGAGAAGCAAUGUGCAAUCUUCCAGAGGAUGAGCAUAAAUGACCCUAACUAUUCACACUGAAUAUAUACUAUACUGCUCAAAAAAAUAAA